CUGGCCCUUUUUUCUUCUUCUUUCUUAACUGUCGGAUAUGCAUUUCAUGAUAAAUCUUCUCAUUUCUUAUCCUAAUGAUGUUGUGUCUAAUUUAAGGGCAUUCCCACCCAAGCUUAUGGCUAUUUUUUUUUCUUCUGCUUGCUUGAUAGUUGGAUCUACAUUUCAUGAUAAAUAUUCUCAUUUCUUAUGUUAUAUUCAGUUUAUUGCAGAGAGCUUGUCAGAGGAAGAGAUAGUGGGCUUAAGAGAGAAAUUCUUAAAUACCUUGGCACAAUUACAAAAUUAGAAAUAAGACAAGUAAGUAGUUGGUAUAUUAGUCUCUUGUCUUUGAUGCUUAACACUUUUCUCCUUUGUCAUGUCUCUGCGCACUUACCUUAUUUGCAGUUUAUGCUAUAACCAGCAGUUUGCUUUUCUAUUGCAGAGGUACAUAAGAGGCGGUGAACUGAAAAAACUAUGAAGAAUUAUAAUAUGUGCAAUAAUUGAGAUAACAAUGAAUGGAAAUGAUUGUCCAAGUGGAUGCAUAUCAUAUGAGUAACUCCAGGAAAUGACUAAAUAGCUCUACUGUCUUAUGCUUAGCAUAAAUAAACUAUAAUGCAUUAUCGCUGUAAGGAAGAUGUAUUGACAUGAUGUUGCAUGUUAUGAACGGACAUCUUCCUCUGCCCCAUUUAUUCUUUCUUAUUUACUAAAUAUUCCACUUCAUAUUGGGUACUAAUUGCAUAAGAAAUCUUAUUUUGCAUACUACAUCCAGUAAUUAAGUGUUUCUAGGUAACUUAUAUUUGGAAUUCUUUUGUUACAGGUCCACAUUUGGGACAGAAAACAUGAUAUAACGUCACAUGAAAGAUGAAACUUGUUUACUGCCUUUUCAUCCGCAGGUGGAUAAUAUGCCUUCCAAUGAAGGAUCCAAUGAUUAGUUAUGAGUCCCUCAUUGCAAACAAAUAUCUAGAAUGACAGUGAAUGUUAGAUCGAGAUAAAAUUCAGUACAAUUAGUUGACAGACACAGACAAGGGCUUCACUCCUAUGAAGAUCUUUGUGGUAUGAUUAUAAUGCUAUCAUGCAAUAUUUUUGUUUUGAGAUUUGGUUCAAAUACUUAAAAAUCAUCUAUUUG
Molecule: long non-coding RNA, 1102 nt
Filed under: Triticum aestivum (bread wheat)
Lineage: Eukaryota; Viridiplantae; Streptophyta; Magnoliopsida; Poales; Poaceae
Description: long non-coding RNA (TAES_LNC016214)
Source: RNAcentral